Long non-coding RNA from Gasterosteus aculeatus aculeatus (three-spined stickleback), 9606 nucleotides. Lineage: Eukaryota; Metazoa; Chordata; Actinopteri; Perciformes; Gasterosteidae. The record is from Ensembl.
GUAAUAAUGCGUGUUUGAGACCCUUUUUUGCAUUGUAUUAUACUGUUUACUGAAACUGGCUGGCCCUACCAAAAAAAAUCCACCAGCCGCCACUGAGCCUGACCGUUCUGCCUCUGUCAGCAGCGAACUGACUGGAUCAUAAAGUGAAACUCACUACACUUAUUCUAAAACACAGCUUCCAUUUUAACAAAAGUAGAAACCUUCAUUUCUAUUUUCCUGGUUUAUCUUCUAAUUUGUGUCCCUGCUCAGCGUCUGACAGAACCCAGACCAAUUAUAUCCAUGUGCCCUUUUUUCACAUUUUUGAGCUUAAUCCCAGAUACUUAAAAAAAAUCUAAUCUCAGAGGAUUUCUUUUUUUGCCUUUUAAAUUUUCAACUGUAUCUUGAAUAACCUUGAAUUUGUACUUGAGUAAAAGUACUGCUGUUAGGACUCAGUUGUCACUUUAACACCAGAUGAGCUUUCGACGAGUUCAUUCAGGAGAUUCAUUCCCCUCCCUUUAAUAUCAGCUAAGUUCUGACUUUGAUAACUUAAUUACUAUUUUUUUAUACAGGAAGAUGCUGAUAUUAGUUUCUCAGAAUUAAUGCGCAUUAAAAUGAAAGGGCUACAAGAUGACAUUGCAAGUAUUCUGAAGUUGUACUUGAGUAUUUGUACUCGUCAGUAUCAGCUCAUCGCGGCGAUGUUUCUUAGUGGGGCGAACAGGCCGAGCUUCGCCAAGCAUCACCUGUCAAUCUCCGGCCUCCUGCCUUCUUCUACUCCUCCUUCUUCUCCCUCUUCUCCUUCUUCUCCUCCUCCUUCUUCUCCUCUUCCUCCUCCUCCUCCUCCUCCUCCCUCUGUUGCAUGGAGCGUGGCUGUGACAAAAGCAGAGGAAUGCCAUUGGCUGCAGUAAAGAGGCUUUAACUGUUGCUCGCUGGCCAUAAACACUGACCGCCAGGGAUGGGGGGUGGGGGGAGGGGGAGGUGAAGGCGGAGGGCCGACGGUGAUCGGGUUUCAGUACCGUGAUGAAUUCUACAUCCCAAGGUUCAUGAGUGGAGACACAAACUGCUGUUAACAGCAAAUAAAGCAGCAGCAGAAAGAGCGGGCUGGGGGGUGUAGUUAAUCUAUUCUUCAUCUCGAUCUUAAUUAGUUUCUUAAUUAGCUUCCACUAAAUUAAGCCACUCUGUUUGAACAUGCUCAGAUGAAUGUGGGGCCAUCCAGUCAGUCAGUCAAAACAUAAAUAUUAGUUAGUAGGUUAAAUAUUUUAUUUUGCACAGAUAUCAUAUUUUACCAAAAUUACGUACAUUCCAUACUUCCAUACCAAUACUGACAUUUUUUAUAAAUUAAUAAUUAUCUUUUAUUUUUUAUUUUUUUGGAGGGUGCUCAAGGAGGAGCGACACCCUCUGCUCUCUAUUCCUGCUGCCAGGAUCAGGACUAGACUGAGACUCACAUAGAUCAGGGAUCCUCGACGUUUUUCAGGCCAUGGUCCCCCAAACUGAUGGCGAGAUGGAGCAGGGACCCCCUAUUCUACGGAGUUUGGUCCGUCACCUUUUAUUUUUGAGCUUUGCGCUCUUUAGACGUGAGCAUGAACGUGAUCUGAUUGGCUGGUGCCUGCGCUGUCGUAUUUGCAUGAAAGGUGCUGUGAAUGAACCGGUGCCCAGCGUGAGAGCUGCUGAGGGAAGCUCAAUGUGUGUGUUGCGGACUGAAAGAUAACGUCUUCUCCAUCAAUUUAUCCGUUUGCUACAAUAUGUUGGAUUCAAUUUCGCGACCCCCCUACAGUACCUCCCUGUUGAAGACCUCUGACAUGAGUGAGAUUAUAUAUUUUGUUCCAGAAGUAGAUGUUUUAUUUCGACUCAGAGCUGUAACAUAAUAUGUGGCAUUGAUUCUACAAGGAAGUCCAGUGGAAGCUGGUUCUGGUUCUAACUCGGGACUAAACCGCCCCCCCCAGAUGAGCGCACACUCUCUAUUUCAUACUUCUUUUUUUCAGGCUACCAUUAGCCUCUUGGCACGUUUUGUUCGACCCGCGUUAUGGAGUUCGUCCCCGUCAGCACCUGCCGGCCUGCCAGAAAUCUGCUUCUUGGACCCCCAAACAAACGCCUUUAAGUAGCGGGAGGGGGGCGGAGCCCAAGGUGGAGGGGGCACAUGAAAGUUGGAGAGCGCAGGUGGCUCUCAGAGAGACGAAACACGAGCAUGUGUUUUGCCAAAACAAAAUUAUGGAAGGGAGGAAAAAAAGAGAAGGAGAAGAUGGAAGUAUGCGUGUCUGUGUGUGUGUGUGUGCCUGUGUAUGUGUGUGUGUACGUGCACUUGUGUGUACGUGUGUGUGUUUUUGUGCAUGUUUGCCUGUGCGUGUGUGUGUGUGUGCCUGUUUUUAUAUGUUUGUGUGUGUGGUUGUGUGUGUGCGUGCGUGUGUGAGUGUGUGUGUGUGUUGGAGGAAGUCAAACCAGUUGGCUGUCAGCUCCAUUUGGCUCCUGUCUCACUCCCUCCAUUUCUCAUAGAGAGCCAUAAGGAAGGCCUCAGCAUGACCACUUCCCAGAAUGCCUUUCUGCUGCUCCUGACGGCAGCCAUUCAUCUCCCCUCCCUCCCUCCCUCCCCCAUCACCACUCCCCUGAGCCCUCAUUUAAACCCAUUUAAACCCUUCUGAUAUGACCAGGAUCAAGUGUCCUGCGCGGCCCCGAAGCAAGGCACUCUGCCACCUGAGGUCGAGGGUUUGAGUCCCACCGGGGCCGCAAAUAUCUGCACUUAAAACCUGGCACAAGGAGCUCACCUCGGGCCGCUGGGGACAUCUUGUUUUUAAGAUGGGAGGAAUAACGGUAACGAGGGGCCAAAACCCACGUUUUAGCUGUUAGAGUUCCUCAGAAUAUUCCAAAUACUAAAAAUCCUUUUAAAUAAGAAGCAUUCUUUUAUGCUCAAUGAAAUUGCAUUGGAGGAAAUAUUUAGCAGCCAAAUCGAAUAGAUUACAUGACAUUCAACCUUUGUUUCUUUAUUAUGUAUUUAAUAAUUUACUUGAUUGUAUGAAGGCAAUACAUUCUUUGUAAAAAAUGGAGGGAAUCAUCCGAAAAAAACGUCUUUUACAUUAUUUUCUGAUUUAUGGAGUUAUAGAAAUUGUUUUUACCCAAUGUUCUAGGAAAUGAGUACAUAUUUUGUAAAAAAGUGCCUAAUUUAAGGAUUUAAAAAUACACUUAUAGUAAACAUACAAUACGAAACAAUGUUGUUUUGAUGUGAACAAUCAACUGAGGAAAAUUAAUUGUUUAAUUGGUAUUUUUGUACUUUACUAUUCCCAUUUAAUGCUACUUCAUACUUUUUCUUCUCCACAUCUCAGAGGAAAACACUCUAUGUAGGUGUAUUUUUUCAUAACGAGUACUUCUAAGAACUUCGUUGGAGUAUUUCUGUUGAUCACUUUACUUUACUUUUUUCAUUAUAAACUCAAUUAAAAAAGAAGGUCGGGUUUCUGUCCACUGAUACGUUGAACUGUUUAUGUCAUUAGCGUGUUUGAGUCUCAGCCUCAUAAAGCCCCACCUGCCCCCCCCAGAUGCCUCGCCUGUCCCGUACCACCCGGCUCUGUGCAUUUGGACCAGACCGCCGGAUCUAAUCCCGGUCCCCCCCUCGCAGAACGAGUCGCCAACUCUGAGAGCAGCGGAGGCGCCGUCCCGGCCUCUGCGGCCCGGCACUGGGCCAAGGGACUGGGUGGGGGGUCCCCUCCUCCCCUCGAUCCGGACUAACCGGCAGCAGCCGGAGCAGACCAAUGAGGGGUGUGUGUGUGUGUUCUAGGGAGCAGUGUGAGGUCCAGAUGAUGAAAGAGAGAUCAGACCUGUGAGAACCACAGAGUCUUUUAAAUAUUCCAAUGAGAGAAGCCACAGUCAUCUGCAUAUGGCUUCAUACGGCUCUAAAACUACAGCUGGACGUUGUGUCCAACGCGGUAAGGAUUCCUUCCGGCCUUUGGGUUUAAUAAGAGCCCAUCUCAUAGAUUGUAUUCCUCCUGUGGGCUCUUCAUGGAGUUGUAGUUUUGUCUGUUAUGUCUUCAGCCCUUCAGAAUGUCUUCAAAUCAGGCCAAGUUUGAUUCAGAUGUUUGGCUGUCAAAGGUCAAAGGUCACUACGACCUCACAUCCGUCCCACUCUCAAUGUUUCUCAUGGAACACCUUGAGAUUCAACAUUUGGAAGAAACGUCCAGCUGGACUGAAGGCUGAGCUGAUGGGAAUUUGGUGGUGAAAGGUCAAAAGGUUGAAAGGUCAGUGUGACCUACCCACACCACAUAGUGUCAAUAAGAAGACGACUUACCGCCGUUACUCUUUAAUGAUAGACACCAUGUUAGGACUCAGUAGGAGGUAGGGACUAGUUCCAUUGGGGAGGUAAAUAUUAUACUCAUUAGUACAUCUCAGAGUUCCCUUUACUGUGCUACAUGUCAGAGUACCCUUUACUGCAGUGGUCCCCAACCACCAGGCCACGGACCGGUACCGGUCUGUGGGCCUUUUGGUACCAGGCCGCACCACGGAAACCGUAUAUAUAUUUUUUCUUCGGAAAAAUCUUUUAUUUUGAAAAUUUUCUCGACCGGUCCGCGAAAUAUUGUCUGACAUGAAAACGGUCCGUGAGGUAAAAAAGGUUGGGGACCACUGGUUUACUGUACCAUAUCUGUCCGACAGCUACUUGUCUACUACUUUUUACUGAUCAAUCUUAGUUUUAGUAGUAGUAUUAGUACUUUCACUGCAGUAAAGGAUCUGCAUACUUCUCAGCGAAAUGUAUUUGCUUGUGUUUUAUAGUCUUGUAGUAGCUUGUUAGCUUGUUGACCUUUUGGAUCCUCUACUUCCUGUUUUUAAUGAUCAGGUUAUUGAUCUGAAGUCAAAUCUUUAAAGUGUAAACUCUGAGCUUCCCUCCUCCGUUUCCACUCGUGGUCACCGGGCAGCGGCCGGAAUCUCCCUCGUACUUGGUCGGGGUUUUGGGUUCCCGGGGCACCCGAGGAGAGAUUGGUCUACCACAUUGACUCUGAUGUAGAAAACCAGACUUCCGGGUCGCAGCGUCCCAGGAUCCUUUGUUUUCCCCCCCGUGGGAGUUCCCGGCCCGGACGCUUCCCUCAGGUUGGUCUGUCCCUUGCAGCUCCUCCACCCCAACAGUGGCCAUGAGGGUGGAGUGGGGUGGGGGGGUAGAGGCAGUGUCAAGAGGUGGAAGAGGAUGUAGUUUCCAGAUGCUCCACCGGUGUUUCGAGUGCUGACGUUGCAGCUCCGGUCUCUACGCGGGCCCUCAAGUCCUCCAUUCAUUGUGCGGGUUUGACUUCAGGACGUCACUGUGGGGCCUCUUGUUCUCUUAUUUUUAUUUGAAAUUCUCCAGUUUGCUUUUGAUUUGAUUCCUCAGGUAAGUCAUUAGUAAUAAUUGAUGACCGUCGAUGUAAUCCUCCGGCAUCGUGUUGACAGAUUUACUCACGAUCUUUGCGUUCACACUUUUUCGUAAGAAGGAAAAUGUGUUUGUGUGGCCAUGUGACCUUUGACCUUCUGACCAGGGGGUCAUCGUCGCAGUAGGACAGGUGUUUGUCCAUCUGUGAAAGACAUAACAGAUCUGAUCCUCUCCGGAAACUCUCAACUUCUAAAUAGACAGACAGGUAUAUUCAAAUAUCUGUGCGUACACACACACUCAAGAUAUGUAUAUUAUACUAUUUACUGAACAAUGAUUCAAAAUAUAUUGAAAUAAUAGUAUGCAUUAGGGUUCAGGAGCAUCAGUUAUACUUUCCAUGCUAAUACAUAAUCAGAGCCAAACUUUCAAUAGUAUAAUACAAGAAUGUUUUUUUCCCUAGAGCAGAAGUGGUGAAAUACUUUUACACAAGUAAAAGUGUACUUUUACAAAUUAAAGUAAAAGUAAUUCACCCUUGUGUACACAUACCAUUACAUUACAAGAGCUUUUUUUGCAGUAAAAAGGACAUUUUGUCUGUUUUUAAACUGUGAUCGUUGACUUUUAUUUGAGUACAUGUCAAACAAAUAAUUUCUUUUGUGUAUUUGUUGAGUCUGGAGUUCCUCUCUCUCUCGUUCAUCUUCAUCACUUAGACACGUGCAGCGUUAUAAACCAUACGUUGAUGAUGUUUUGUCUCUAACGAUGGGGGGGGUUGGACCUUAAGUUACAGGUUACAUUCUGUGCCCCCCCUGGAAACAGCUGUAAUUCCCCCAAUUAUCAGUCAGCACUCAACACUUUUAAAAGGUGGCGUCAGUCGAAACUAGAAAAUAUAAUUUAGAAUCUUCUUAUUCUCUUUAAUUGUCUUGUUGCAGCUGUUUGCAUUCUAAAUGAUCCUUGGAUUCAUCACCUUAAUGAUAAAACACAUUCACACGUGACAGGAUUAUUUCUUUUAUAUAAAAAGCAAAGAAGUUUUGGACCAAAGUGCUUCAAAAUUGACCUUGUUUUAGUUUUUUAGGAUCUUUUGUCACAUGGCGACAGGUCGGUCCAAUUUUUCCCUUGAACUUCUUCAUUACAAACGACAGUGUCUCUACAACAGAGUACACACAGCGCUAAGCCGUUCUGGGUCAGACUAACGAAAAUGUUUAAAUAUCACCAAAGCAACAAGUGUGAUGUUGGCGCAGGGGUAGAGAUGCACCCGGAACCGCAAGGUUGGUGGUCGGUGUCCAAUGUCCAAUUGUUCCUGAGCAAGACACCGAACCCCUAAUUGUUCCCCGGGCAAAAAUGUAAAAAGCCAUGGGUUAAAAAUGCAAUGUAAGUCGCUUGGAUAAAAGUGUCAGAUAAAUGACUUGUAAUGUAAUUUUCGAUGGGAGAGGCAUUAAACCUGUAACACAGCAACAUUUUUUUUGUUGAUUGUGGGCAAGUAAAAUAUACUCAGUUUUUAACUGAAGAGACAAUUAUCUCCACUUCUAUACUCAUGUGCUUUGUCAGAUAAAGCAAGAUUUUAUACCAGAGCAACAGAAUUAGAACUGUAGUUUAGAAUGAGAUUAUUUGGUGAAAAUCUUCCUGUGAGUGAUUGGUGAUUCGUUUUAAAGCAGUAUAACUUGUCAGAAGUACUGGUUACACAGUAGUGCACAGUAGCCUAAGGGACAAAUGAAAUGUGAAACUUUUAGAUGAUAGAAGUCAACCAUCACCUUCAUGCUUUAACAUUACAUCACUACAACCUUUAUUUAUAGCAAAUUGCACGCUGCGUUCAAUUUAAUAAUUGAACACAUCGUUUUUAGGUACAUGUUGUCGCUAGAGUUGCACAUGAGACGGAUCCUUUCUAUUUAAACCGUCCUGCAAGCAAAGACAAACAAGUCACCAACUGCCAGCAACAUUAUGAGUCAGUAGGUCAAAGGUCAGAGCGUUGCUGCCUCUUAAAACAGACAUGUCAGACGUUCCCCGGGUCUCCGCUCAGCGAAGAAAUCUCCAAUUAACCGAAGUGUGAAUUCCUGUAUAAAGCAGCUCUGUGGCCUCUGAACGUCUCUCUCCAGGCUACACGCUAUUUCGGGUGGGCUUCGAUCCCGGAGCUUAGUUGGCCUCCAUAGCUCGCAUUCCCAUCCGGAGGCGCUCAGGUCUUCACGCCGUAUCUUGGGAACACGCCGUUAUCAUGCACUUCCCACCGUUGCGUCAGAGGCCGCAGAUAUCUCUGCGUGGACUGAUGACGAGACGGUAACCUACCUCACAUUAGACUUCUUAAUAUUCAAACUAUAGCUCUUCGUUUGGUGGUGAACUUGACCAACAUUGGUGGAAGGUUUCACCUGUGAGGUCGAGGCCUUCAACCAGGUCCAAUCACAGAGUGACAGAGAUCACCUGUGAGGCCUUCAACCAGGUCCAAUCACAGAGUGACAGAGAUCACCUGUGAGGCCUUCAACCAGGUCCAAUCACAGAGUGACAGAGAUCACCUGUGAGGCCUUCAACCAGGUCCAAUCACCGAGUGAUAGAGAUCACCUGUGAGGCCUUCAACCAGGUCCAAUCACCGAGUGAUAGACAUCACCUGUGAGGCCGUCAACCUCGAUAUUUACUAAAACUAAAAACGGAGUAGUAAAAGGAAAACGACAUUGGUCCACUUGAGUGUUUUAGCAUCGUUCCAGUUAAUCUGCAUCCACAUGGCAAUCUCCACAAGCGUAUAUCACAUGGCCAUUGACUUACACUGGGCAGGAGCGAGGCGGUGUAAACGGGAAGAUACGACACACACAGUCACGUGAUAGUGUGACGAAUCGGGGAAGGACACAUCCCAAAUGCUAAGAGACAAUCAAGUAGGGAACGUGGGUGCGGGCCUGGGGAGUGUUCCAAACCUUGCACAGUUCCACGGGAUGUGUUCUGCAUAGUUACAAGUAAUGGGGGCAUUAUGGUAAUUUCUGUAACAUCUGCAUACAGCUGUUUAGCACACAUAACACCCACAAACCAAACAGCCACACACCGCCACAGCAAAGUCUUCAAAGAUGGCCGACCUGUCAGCAGGCAUCUCGCCUGGUUUCUGAGUGCUUUAGAGUGUAGGAGGAGAAAACCAACCCCGCCCCCCCGACCGGGAAGUUCAUUUAAAGCUCUGGGGUGUGCUACACAUGGCAGUGCCGUUUUAAAAGAGCUCUCUUUUAACACUUGGCAGAGAAGUGCAGGAGAAAGGUUGCGCUGUUUGGGGGUCGGUAUAUAAAUGGCUCCCGGGGGCCCGCUUCCCACUGAGGAGGUCCAAACUCUGACGAUGGGAGGGGGUUGAAGAGCUGAAACCCAAGCAUCAUUGAAUGUGUCAUCGGCCACGCCGAGCGUCGCUGCUGUUUGAGAAACAUGAUAUUUUAGUGUCAAACAUCGGCCCGGAGACGUCAAGUUCAGCGGCAAGACCGUCUGCGGGUAAUCCUCAGCGUGGUGGUAACCAUGGCGAUGCCCAUCUGGAGACGGGUUUUAAACACCUUCAACCAACAGAUGCAAUACAAUCAAAAAAGCAGCGCUUCAUUGAGCCUUUUGAAGACGUCUUCAUGGAGAAACAAAGAAGCCGAUAAUGGGAUUUAUGUAACAAGUGAAUAGUCUCUAUUUAUUGUGAUGAAUGAAUGUUUGCUGUAUUCAGCAAUGGAUUAAUGAUUUGAGCAGUUGAAGUUUUGCUUAUUAAAAAUAUUGUCAGAUAAUUUGAUAAUUGAGGAGAACAAAGAGAAAAAGCAACAACAUUUCAACGUAAAAUAAGGCAUAACAUACAUAUUUAUUCUGUUAAGAAACGUUGAAUAAAAACAGCACGAUUGUUUGAAUGUCAUGGUUUUAUAGAUGAACGGAUGAUAUUAAUUCAUCCGUAGAUAACAAGGCAGGUGAAGACUUUUUGCCUCCUGUGAGAAACAGCGAAUCUCUCCUCGCCUGUCCGCGACCUUACGACUGGACGUGAACCCCAGCCGGCUGAAAGGUUGUGACCCCUCAGGCCGUUUCCUCUGUUUGGCUUUGUGGAGUUGAUACUUCAGAGCCAGCUGGGAAUUCAGAUACACAAACAGAACAAGCUUCCGACACAACUGACUCAUUGACACAGGAAAAAAGAAGCCUGGAGGGCGGAGGCAGAGCUUCAGCGAUAGGACAGAGCCUCUGGUCCGAGGUCCGAUUGUGAGCUUUAAAAUGACGCUUUUUACCUUUUAUCAGGUGGAGAAGAGACGGACAGGAAAUGAGGCGAGUAACAGAGGGGAUGAAAUGCAACUAUGACAUAAAUGUAUUUCAUAACUUUUAUACUAUACUACAUAAUUUUAUUAUAU